AAAGAGUUCUAUAACUCCCAAACCCAUGUGAACAUACCUAACGUUGCCUCGGCAGGUCGCACCUACCUUGUAGCACCCUACCCUGUAGGGCCUACCCGGGAGGUGCGGGUAAGCCUGCCGGCGGCCCACCAAACUCUGUUUGAUAUUGAAUUCUGAACCUAUAACUAAAUAAGUUAAAACUUUCAACAACGGAUCUCUUGGUUCUGGCAUCGAUGAAGAACGCAGCGAAAUGCGAUAAGUAAUGUGAAUUGCAGAAUUCAGUGAAUCAUCGAAUCUUUGAACGCAUAUUGCGCCCAUUAGUAUUCUAGUGGGCAGGACCGUUCGAGCGUCAUUUCAACCCUUAAGCCUUCGUUGCUUAGUGUUGGGAGCCUACGGCAACGUAGCUCCUCAAAGUUAGUGGCGGAGUUGGUUCACACUCUAGACGUAGUAAUUUUUUAUCUCGCCUAUUAGUUGGACUAAUCCCCUGCCGUAAAACCCCCAAUUUAUCAAGGUUGACCUCGAAUCGGUUCAGACAAACUCGCUAAAUUGAAGCAUCUUAGUCAGCGAAGGAAAAGAAACCAACAGGGAUUGCCCUAGUAACGGCGAGUGAAGCGGCAACAGCUCAAAUUUGAAAUCUGGCCCUCGGGUCCGAGUUGUAAUUUGUAGA
RNAcentral lists this ribosomal RNA (646 nucleotides) under fungal endophyte. Its description in RNAcentral is "eukaryotic LSU rRNA". The stretch from base 178 to 331 matches the Rfam family "5.8S ribosomal RNA". The record is from RNAcentral. Lineage: Eukaryota; Fungi.